This 229-nucleotide ribosomal RNA is filed under the name Gloeocapsa sp. Ind56. Its description in RNAcentral is "partial 16S ribosomal RNA". It matches the Rfam family "Bacterial small subunit ribosomal RNA", at positions 1095 to 1319 of the family's 1533-position model. The record is from RNAcentral. Lineage: Bacteria; Bacillati; Cyanobacteriota; Cyanophyceae; Chroococcidiopsidales; Chroococcidiopsidaceae.
AGCGCAACCCUCGUUCUUAGUUGCCAGCAUUCAAGGUGGGCACUCUAGGGAGACUGCCGGUGAUAAGCCCGGAGGAAGGUGGGGAUGACGUCAAGUCAUCAUUGCCCCUUACGUUCUGGGCUACACACGUACUACAGAUGGUUGGGACAAAGGGCAGCAAGACCGCGAGGUGGAGACGAAUCCCAGCAAACCCAGCCUCACGUUCAGAUUGCUAGGGCUAGCAACUGGC